Molecule: transfer RNA, 72 nt
Filed under: Ovis aries (sheep)
Lineage: Eukaryota; Metazoa; Chordata; Mammalia; Artiodactyla; Bovidae
Rfam family: tRNA
About the family: Transfer RNA (tRNA) molecules are approximately 80 nucleotides in length. Their secondary structure includes four short double-helical elements and three loops (D, anti-codon, and T loops).
Source: Rfam by way of RNAcentral
UCUAAAUUGGCUCAGCUGGUAAAGAAUCCGCCUGCAACGCGGGAGACCCGGGUUUGAUCCCUGGGUUGGGAA